This 527-nucleotide long non-coding RNA is filed under the name Elaeis guineensis (African oil palm). RNAcentral's name for it is "long non-coding RNA (EGUI_LNC029869)". The record is from RNAcentral. Lineage: Eukaryota; Viridiplantae; Streptophyta; Magnoliopsida; Arecales; Arecaceae.
GAAUGAAAUAGAUUGGAUGAAAGUUGAGAACAGAACUACAUGUCGAACUUGUGGCGAAGUAGGACAUAGUAGACGGACAUAUUCGAGAACCAGAGAAUGAAUAUUUUUUUGAAAUUGAUGAAAUUUGUAUUAUCAUCAGUUGUAAUGUGAUAUUACUUUUGUUCCGACUUGUAUCAAAUGUGUGUUUCUUUGAUUCAGUAUCAAAUAUGUGUUUAUUUGCAAAUGCCUUCUAUAGUAUUGCACACAUGGAGUCAGGGCUGGUAGAUCAGACGGUAUUACAUGGUUAGGUAUCUCAUCAGUCUUCCAUCAAUUGAGAUGGGCAGGUAUGUUUUUAUAUAACUAAUUUGCAUUUGUUCGAAUAUGAAGAUUUGAGGUAUCUUCUUUUCAAGUUUAUAGGAGCAUUCCUUUCUUAGAUGUCGACGGCGAGAGCUAGUCUUUACUCACUCGAUCCUGCUGGAUAUACGGAUAGUAUCACUUCUGCAACAGGCUAGUUUUUACGGUCUUAGCUGCAUGAUUUUAAUAUCACU